AGUGAACGCUGGCGGUAGGCCUAACACAUGCAAGUCGAACGGCAGCACAGUAAGAGCUUGCUCUUACGGGUGGCGAGUGGCGGACGGGUGAGGAAUACAUCGGAAUCUACUUUUUCGUGGGGGAUAACGUAGGGAAACUUACGCUAAUACCGCAUACGACCUCCGGGUGAAAGCCGGGGAUCUUCGGACCUUGCGCGAUUGAAUGAGCCGAUGUCGGAUUAGCUAGUUGGCGGGGUAAAGGCGCACCAAGGCGACGAUCCGUAGCUGGUCUGAGAGGAUGAGCAGCCACACUGGAACUGAGACACGGUCCAGACUCCUACGGGAGGCAGCAGUGGGGAAUAUUGGACAAUGGGCGCAAGCCUGAUCCAGCCAUACCGCGUGGGUGAAGAAGGCCUUCGGGUUGUAAAGCCCUUUUGUUGGGAAAGAAAAGCAGCAGGUUAAUACCCCGCUGUUCUGACGGUACCCAAAGAAUAAGCACCGGCUAACUUCGUG
RNAcentral lists this ribosomal RNA (492 nucleotides) under uncultured bacterium. Its description in RNAcentral is "partial 16S ribosomal RNA". It matches the Rfam family "Bacterial small subunit ribosomal RNA", at positions 29 to 507 of the family's 1533-position model. The record is from RNAcentral.